This 446-nucleotide ribosomal RNA is filed under the name uncultured bacterium. RNAcentral's name for it is "SSU rRNA". It matches the Rfam family "Bacterial small subunit ribosomal RNA", at positions 26 to 518 of the family's 1533-position model. The record is from RNAcentral.
AGAGCGAACGCUGGCGGCAGGCCUAACACAUGCAAGUCGAACGGAUCCUUCGGGAUUAGUGGCGGACGGGUGAGUAACACGUGGGAACGUGCCUUUUGGUUCGGAACAACUCAGGGAAACUUGAGCUAAUACCGGAUGUGCCCUUCGGGGGAAAGAUUUAUCGCCAUUAGAGCGGCCCGCGUCUGAUUAGCUUGUUGGUGAGGUAAAGGCUCACCAAGGCUACGAUCAGUAGCUGGUCUGAGAGGAUGAUCAGCCACAUUGGGACUGAGACACGGCCCAAACUCCUACGGGAGGCAGCAGUGGGGAAUCUUGCGCAAUGGGCGAAAGCCUGACGCAGCCAUGCCGCGUGAAUGAUGAAGGUCUUAGGAUUGUAAAAUUCUUUCACCGGGGAAGAUAAUGACUGUACCCGGAGAAGAAGCUCCGGCUAACUUCGUGCCAGCAGCCGC